Molecule: ribosomal RNA, 1049 nt
Filed under: Microbacterium sp. ZY013
Lineage: Bacteria; Bacillati; Actinomycetota; Actinomycetes; Micrococcales; Microbacteriaceae
Description: bacterial SSU rRNA
Rfam family: Bacterial small subunit ribosomal RNA
Source: RNAcentral
CGGUGAAGCCAAGCUUGCUUGGUGGAUCAGUGGCGAACGGGUGAGAAACACGUGAGCAACCUGCCCUGGACUCUGGGAUAAGCGCUGGAAACGGCGUCUAAUACUGGAUAUGAGCUCUCAUCGCAUGGUGGGGGUUGGAAAGAUUUUUUGGUCUGGGAUGGGCUCGCGGCCUAUCAGCUUGUUGGUGAGGUAAUGGCUCACCAAGGCGUCGACGGGUAGCCGGCCUGAGAGGGUGACCGGCCACACUGGGACUGAGACACGGCCCAGACUCCUACGGGAGGCAGCAGUGGGGAAUAUUGCACAAUGGGCGGAAGCCUGAUGCAGCAACGCCGCGUGAGGGAUGACGGCCUUCGGGUUGUAAACCUCUUUUAGCAAGGAAGAAGCUUUUGUGACGGUACUUGCAGAAAAAGCGCCGGCUAACUACGUGCCAGCAGCCGCGGUAAUACGUAGGGCGCAAGCGUUAUCCGGAAUUAUUGGGCGUAAAGAGCUCGUAGGCGGUUUGUCGCGUCUGCUGUGAAAUCCCGAGGCUCAACCUCGGGCCUGCAGUGGGUACGGGCAGACUAGAGUGCGGUAGGGGAGAUUGGAAUUCCUGGUGUAGCGGUGGAAUGCGCAGAUAUCAGGAGGAACACCGAUGGCGAAGGCAGAUCUCUGGGCCGUAACUGACGCUGAGGAGCGAAAGGGUGGGGAGCAAACAGGCUUAGAUACCCUGGUAGUCCACCCCGUAAACGUUGGGAACUAGUUGUGGGGUCCUUUCCACGGAUUCCGUGACGCAGCUAACGCAUUAAGUUCCCCGCCUGGGGAGUACGGCCGCAAGGCUAAAACUCAAAGGAAUUGACGGGGACCCGCACAAGCGGCGGAGCAUGCGGAUUAAUUCGAUGCAACGCGAAGAACCUUACCAAGGCUUGACAUACACGAGAACAUCCCAGAAAUGGGGGACUCUUUGGACACUCGUGAACAGGUGGUGCAUGGUUGUCGUCAGCUCGUGUCGUGAGAUGUUGGGUUAAGUCCCGCAACGAGCGCAACCCUCGUUCUAUGUUGCCAGCUCGUAA